This 300-nucleotide unclassified non-coding RNA is filed under the name Zea mays. Its description in RNAcentral is "misc RNA Zm00001eb056690". The record is from RNAcentral. Lineage: Eukaryota; Viridiplantae; Streptophyta; Magnoliopsida; Poales; Poaceae.
CUGCGCGGCCCUCUCUCUCUCCUCUUCUUUACACCUCACCUCCGGAUCGCUCAGAGAUUGAGUCGUAGCCCGACUGGUCGCCGCGUCCCUCCCCCCUCCCCCGCGCGCGGCAGCAGAGCACCACAGCGAGCAAUGGAGGCGGUGGGCAUCGACCUGGCGCUGGGCGGCGGCGCUGCGUCCCUCCCCCCCUCCCCCGCGCGCAGCAGCAGAGCACCACAGCGAGCAAUGGAGACGGUGGGCGUCGGCCUGGCGCUGGGCGGCCUACAUGUGCCCACCGGGAGAAAGAACUGUACUUCCUAG